AGUGAACGCUGGCGGUAGGCCUAACACAUGCAAGUCGAACGGCAGCACAGUAAGAGCUUGCUCUUACGGGUGGCGAGUGGCGGACGGGUGAGGAAUACAUCGGAAUCUACUUUUUCGUGGGGGAUAACGUAGGGAAACUUACGCUAAUACCGCAUACGACCUACGGGUGAAAGCAGGGGAUCUUCGGACCUUGCGCGAUUGAAUGAGCUGAUGUCGGAUUAGCUAGUUGGCGGGGUAAAGGCCCGCCAAGGCGACGAUCCGUAGCUGGUCUGAGAGGAUGAUCAGCCACACUGGAACUGAGACACGGUCCAGACUCCUACGGGAGGCAGCAGUGGGGAAUAUUGGACAAUGGGCGCAAGCCUGAUCCAGCCAUACCGCGUGGGUGAAGAAGGCCUUCGGGUUGUAAAGCCCUUUUGUUGGGAAAGAAAAGCAGCAGGUUAAUACCCCGCUGUUCUGACGGUACCCAAAGAAUAAGCACCGGCUAACUUCGUG
This 492-nucleotide ribosomal RNA is filed under the name uncultured bacterium. Its description in RNAcentral is "partial 16S ribosomal RNA". It matches the Rfam family "Bacterial small subunit ribosomal RNA", at positions 29 to 507 of the family's 1533-position model. The record is from RNAcentral.